Molecule: ribosomal RNA, 305 nt
Filed under: uncultured bacterium
Lineage: Bacteria
Description: partial 16S ribosomal RNA
Rfam family: Bacterial small subunit ribosomal RNA
Source: RNAcentral
ACAGCAGUAGCCGCGGUAAUACGAAGGGGGCUAGCGUUGUUCGGAAUAACUGGGCGUAAAGGGCGCGUAGGCGGAUCUUUAAGUCAGGGGUGAAAUCCCAAGGCCCAACCUUGGAACUGCCUUUGAUACUGGAGAUCUUGAGUCCGGGAGAGGUGAGUGGAACUGCGAGUGUAGAGGUGAAAUUCGUAGAUAUUCGGAAGAACACCAGUGGCGAAGGCGGCUCACUGGCUCGGUAUUGACGCUGAGGUGCGAAAGCGUGGGGAGCAAACAGGAUUAGAUACCCGCGUAGUCCCUGUCUCUUAUAC